UCAUGUGAUGUUAUAUAUUAUGUAUAUGGAAUGACUCUAAUAUUAAAAAAAAAAAACAGUCAAAUUCAGAUUUUUUUACUUAGCA
Long non-coding RNA from Maniola jurtina (meadow brown), 85 nucleotides. RefSeq lists it as uncharacterized. The record is from RefSeq and is a predicted model, not a curated record. The transcript is spliced from 3 exons. Lineage: Eukaryota; Metazoa; Arthropoda; Insecta; Lepidoptera; Nymphalidae.